GGAGGAGUGGCCGAGUGGUCGAAGGCAGCGGUCUUGAAAACCGCCGGGCCCGUGAGGGUCCCAAGGGUUCGAAUCCCUUCUCCUCCG
Molecule: transfer RNA, 87 nt
Filed under: Sandaracinaceae bacterium
Lineage: Bacteria; Pseudomonadati; Myxococcota; Polyangiales; Sandaracinaceae
Description: tRNA-Ser
Rfam family: tRNA
About the family: Transfer RNA (tRNA) molecules are approximately 80 nucleotides in length. Their secondary structure includes four short double-helical elements and three loops (D, anti-codon, and T loops).
Source: RNAcentral